UGUUGGGAAUUGAACUUAAAACCUCUGGAAGCAGAUGGUACAUUUAUCUCUGAACCAUCUCUUCAGCCCCUUUAAAUUUUUUAUUUCAGAUAUUUAACUUUAAUGUGCAUGAGUGUCUGCCUAAGUGUAUAUAGAUGCACAUGCGCAUGUCAGAGCCUGCCGAGAUUAGAAGAGGAGUUAGAUGCUCUGGAAUUGGAGUUACACCUGUGAUCUGUCAUCUGAGUGCUGGGAACUGAACUGGGUCCUUUGGAAGAGAAACAAGUGCUCCGAACCACUGAGCCAACCCCAGCCCAGGCCUAAAAUUCAAUGUUUAUGUAGGUCGUAUUGGACACAAAAUUGCAGAAAUCUUUCUGCCCCUGCCUUCCAAGAGCAUGAGCCAUCAUACUUGCUUGCUUAUACAUGGACGUUGUAAAAUUUAAUAGCAAUACUUAUUUUUUUGAAACAGGAUCUCACUAUGUAUUCCUCACAGGCUUGGAAGGCAGAGAGGUCCACUUGCCUCUGCCUUGAGUGUUGGCAUUAAAGAUGUUCAUCACCGUGCUCGACAGCAACCUUUACAUUUUUAAAAUUCUAGGAGCUAGGCAGAUGGCUUAGUGUAUAAAAGGCUUGCCAUGAAAUAUGAGGACCUGACUUUGAAUCCACAUAAGACAAGCACAGUAGCUAGCAUCUGAUCCCAGUGCUACUAAAACAAAAUAGGAAGUAGAAACAGGAAAGAUCCUGGAGACUUGUAGGCUGGCUAGCCUGCUGUAUGCAGUAGUGCAAGAGAAGCGACCUUGUGUUUAACAAGGUUUGUCCUCUGAUCCCCACCUAUGCCCACUUGUUGUGUUGUAUGCUUCACAUACAGAUUUUUAAAAUGCUAGGGCUAGGGAUAUGGCUCAGUCAGAGAAAAGUGCUUGCCACGCAAGCAUGAAGGACCUGAAUUUGGAUUCCUGUCACAUAUAUAAAGAAAAAACAGGGUCAAUAGCACAUAUCUAGGAGGCAGACUAUGCCUUGGGCAUGCAGGCCAGCCAGCUUAGUUGAAUUUGAUGAGAAACCUUGUUUCAAAAAAAAAUAAAGUGGAGUGAUGCUGAAGCGAUGGUUGAGUGGUUGCCUUGCAGAGGACUGCAGUUCAGUCCCCAGCACACAGAGAGCUCACAAGAGUCUAUGAACUAGAGUUCCAGGGGAUUAGUUGUCUUCUGGACUUAUAUGCCCAUGCCCCCACAAAGAUACGCAGACAUAAU
This 1217-nucleotide long non-coding RNA is filed under the name Mus musculus (house mouse). RNAcentral describes it as "long non-coding RNA chr14:56686869-56688086". The record is from RNAcentral. Lineage: Eukaryota; Metazoa; Chordata; Mammalia; Rodentia; Muridae.